Molecule: ribosomal RNA, 1689 nt
Filed under: Vibrio alginolyticus
Lineage: Bacteria; Pseudomonadati; Pseudomonadota; Gammaproteobacteria; Vibrionales; Vibrionaceae
Description: bacterial LSU rRNA
Rfam family: Bacterial large subunit ribosomal RNA
Source: RNAcentral
GGUAACGCAUGCUGGACGUAUCAGAAGUGCGAAUGCUGACAUGAGUAACGAUAAAGGGGGGUGAAAAACCUCCUCGCCGGAAGACCAAGGGUUCCUGUCCAACGUUAAUCGGGGCAGGGUAAGUCGACCCCUAAGGCGAGGCCGAAAGGCGUAGUCGAUGGGAAACGGGUUAAUAUUCCCGUACUUCUUACAAUUGCGAUGGGGGGACGGAAGGCUAGGUGGGCCUGGCGACGGUUGUCCAGGUUCAAGUGUGUAGGCUGAAGAGUUAGGUAAAUCCGGCUCUUUCUAAGGCUGAGACACGACGUCGAGCACCUACGGGUGUGAAGUCAUUGAUGCCAUGCUUCCAGGAAAAGCCUCUAAGCUUCAGAUUGUAAGGAAUCGUACCCCAAACCGACACAGGUGGUCGGGUAGAGAAUACCAAGGCGCUUGAGAGAACUCGGGUGAAGGAACUAGGCAAAAUGGUACCGUAACUUCGGGAGAAGGUACGCUCUCGACGGUGAAGUCCCUCGCGGAUGGAGCUAUUGAGAGUCGCAGAUACCAGGUGGCUGCAAACUGUUUAUUUAAAAACACAGCACUGUGCAAAUCGCAAGAUGACGUAUACGGUGUGACGCCUGCCCGGUGCCGGAAGGUUAAUUGAUGGGGUUAGACUUCGGUCGAAGCUCUUGAUCGAAGCCCCGGUAAACGGCGGCCCGUAACUAUAACGGUCCUAAGGUAGCGAAAUUCCUUGUCGGGUAAGUUCCGACCUGCACGAAUGGCGUAAUGAUGGCCACGCUGUCUCCACCCGAGACUCAGUGAAAUUGAAAUCGCUGUGAAGAUGCAGUGUACCCGCGGCUAGACGGAAAGACCCCGUGAACCUUUACUACAGCUUGGCCACUGAACAUUGACCCUACAUGUGUAGGAUAGGUGGGAGGCUUUGAAGCGGCAGUCGCUAGAUUGCGUGGAGCCGUCCUUGAAAUACCACCCUUGUAGUGUUGAUGUUCUAACGUCGACCCCUUAUCGGGGUUGCGGACAGUGCCUGGUGGGUAGUUUGACUGGGGCGGUCUCCUCCCAAAGCGUAACGGAGGAGCACGAAGGUGGGCUAAUCACGGUUGGACAUCGUGAGGUUAGUGCAAUGGCAUAAGCCCGCUUGACUGCGAGAAUGACAAUUCGAGCAGGUGCGAAAGCAGGUCAUAGUGAUCCGGUGGUUCUGAAUGGAAGGGCCAUCGCUCAACGGAUAAAAGGUACUCCGGGGAUAACAGGCUGAUACCGCCCAAGAGUUCAUAUCGACGGCGGUGUUUGGCACCUCGAUGUCGGCUCAUCACAUCCUGGGGCUGAAGUCGGUCCCAAGGGUAUGGCUGUUCGCCAUUUAAAGUGGUACGCGAGCUGGGUUUAGAACGUCGUGAGACAGUUCGGUCCCUAUCUGCCGUGGGCGUUGGAGAAUUGAAAGGGGCUGCUCCUAGUACGAGAGGACCGGAGUGGACGAACCUCUGGUGUUCGGGUUGUGUCGCCAGACGCAUUGCCCGGUAGCUAAGUUCGGGAUCGAUAACCGCUGAAAGCAUCUAAGCGGGAAGCGAGCCUUGAGAUGAGUUCUCCCUGAUACUUUAAGUAUCCUAAAAGGGUUGUCGUAGACUACGACGUUGAUAGGCAGGGUGUGUAAGCGUUGUGAGGCGUUGAGCUAACCUGUACUAAUUGCCCGUGAGGCUUAACCAU